GCUGCUGCUGACACCCACUGCCUCUGGGGAAGGAAAAGAAACCUUCCACCCCUGAGGAAAAUGAGGGAGAAGCUGCAAGGUUGAUCAUGUCAGUGGUUUUGUUGCAUUCAAACCAUCGUCCGCAUUGUUCGCAAAGCUCUUUGCAGUGCCUCGGAGCUGCCCAGCAAACCCUCCCGAUGGCUCCAGUGCCCACACUGAGAGCCAGCUUGAGCUGACGGUGGCAGUCAGAUGAGCCUGGAUCGGUUGUGCUAACUUGAGCUGUCGCCUGCAGCUGCAUCUCUCCUCGUUAGUAGCUCGAGCGUCGGUAACACUUGGGCUUUGAUCCGUGCAUCCUGACAAGCCAACUAGCGUGAGUUUUUAAAAUGCUGCUUAGCUUCCAUUAGCAAUGUCCCUGGGCAGGAGCUGGCAAUGCUCACUGCCCUGAGCCUUUGGGAGGAAGAGCAGCAUAGAAAUUGAGUAAAUAAUUAAACACUCGUGUGACGCCUUGAGCUACUGCUGCGGUGAAGGGAGGUCCAGACAGCACUUUUAUUGGCAGGUCUCCAAGCCCUUUCCCAAAGAGGUUUCUGCUCCUCCCUGGAGGCCUGUGAACUUGUCCUCUCCUUUUGCGGAGUCUUUUGUGGAGCUAAAAACUCUACUGUCUUUCCUUGUCACUGUGAAUGCAAAGCUGCUAAUGUCUGCAUUUAAGCUGAUGUCCUGGGAAGUACCCCGUGAACGAGAGAGAGAGAGAGUGUGUGUGAUGCUGUUCCUCGAUCCUCCCUGCCCAGCGCUCCUGCAACAAGGACGUUUGUCCUGAGGUCAAAUCUAAAUCAACUUGGCUGCAAUUUCAGGCUGUUGCUUUGCGUCCUGCUCUCUGCAGCAGGGGUGGAAAGUCCUUCUCUGUCUUUGACAGCCUUUCAGGGAUUUGAAUGCUUGUACCCGGCCACCCUCCAUCUCCUUUCUUCCAAGCUAAAUGUUGUACUCUCACCUUUUCCUCCUACCAUUUCCCUCCCAGCUGCUUUGUCCUUUUUGUCACCUGCCCCGGACCAUCUCCACCUUCUCCAUAUCCUUCUUAAAAUGUGUAUGUGUUUUACAGUACACCAUACUCUGCAAGGCCUAACCAGCACCGAGUUAAGUAACACUGUCCCCAUCACUUAAUACUUCACUACACCCGGUAUGGCUGCCUCAAUGCACCUGUUGAUACAGCCCAGAAUGACGGCUGCUUUUUUGGGGAGGACAGCAUUGCACUGCUGACUGCCGUUUAAUGUGCAAUGCACCAAAGCCCAGAUCCUUCUCGGCAUCACCAUUACCCAGCCAGUCGUCUCCUGUCUUGCCUUUGUGCUUUUGGUUAUUCUCCCCCAGGUGCAGCACUUUGCAUUUGCCUCUGCUGAACCUCAUCGUUUUGUCUCUGGACCAGCUCCUCCGUCUGUCAAGGUCCCUCCGUUCUCCAGCGUUUGCAGUGUGUCACCUGCAGACUUGUUCAAGAAGCCCCUGGCGGCUGAAUUGUUAAUAAACAUGUUUAAAUC
This is a long non-coding RNA of Gavialis gangeticus (Gharial), 1502 nucleotides long. RefSeq lists it as uncharacterized. NCBI's taxonomy places the organism in Eukaryota, Metazoa, Chordata, Crocodylia, Gavialidae. The transcript is spliced from 2 exons. The record is from RefSeq and is a predicted model, not a curated record.